Molecule: transfer RNA, 78 nt
Filed under: Stegodyphus mimosarum
Lineage: Eukaryota; Metazoa; Arthropoda; Arachnida; Araneae; Eresidae
Rfam family: tRNA
About the family: Transfer RNA (tRNA) molecules are approximately 80 nucleotides in length.
Source: Rfam by way of RNAcentral
GCCUUCGUGGUGUAGUGGGGUGGGCAGCACGCUCGACGCGUAACCCAGAGGUCCGUGGUUCGAUUCCCGACGAAGGCA